Molecule: ribosomal RNA, 466 nt
Filed under: uncultured bacterium
Lineage: Bacteria
Description: bacterial SSU rRNA
Rfam family: Bacterial small subunit ribosomal RNA
Source: RNAcentral
CCUACGGGUUGCACCAGUAGGGAAUCUUCCGCAAUGGACGAAAGUCUGACGGAGCAACGCCGCGUGAGUGAUGAAGGCUUUCGGGUCGUAAAACUCUGUUGUUAGGGAAGAACAAGUGCUAGUUGAAUAAGCUGGCACCUUGACGGUACCUAACCAGAAGGCCACGGCUAACUACGUGCCAGCAGCCGCGGUAAUACGUAGGUGGCAAGCGUUAUCCAGAAUUAUUGGGCGUAAAGCGCGCGCAGGUGGUUUCUUAAGUCUGAUGUGAAAGCCCACGGCUCAACCGUGGAGGGUCAUUGGAAACUGGGAGACUUGAGUGCAGAAGAGGAAAGUGGAAUUCCAUGUGUAGCGGUGAAAUGCGUAGAGAUAUGGAGGAGCACCAGUGGCGAAGGCGGCCCCCUGGACAAAGACUGACGCUCAGGUGCGAAAGCGUGGGGAGCAAACAGGAUUAGAUACCCGGGUAGUC